GAUGAACGCUGGCGGCGUGCCUAAUACAUGCAAGUCGAGCGAACAGAUGAGGAGCUUGCUCCUCUGACGUUAGCGGCGGACGGGUGAGUAACACGUGGAUAACCUACCUAUAAGACUGGGAUAACUUCGGGAAACCGGAGCUAAUACCGGAUAAUAUAUUGAACCGCAUGGUUCAAUAGUGAAAGACGGUUUUGCUGUCACUAAUAGAUGGAUCCGCGCCGCAUUAGCUAGUUGGUAAGGUAACGGCUUACCAAGGCAACGAUGCGUAGCCGACCUGAGAGGGUGAUCGGCCACACUGGAACUGAGACACGGUCCAGGCUCCUACGGGAGGCAGCAGUAGGGAAUCUUCCGCAAUGGGCGAAAGCCUGACGGAGCAACGCCGCGUGAGUGAUGAAGGUCUUCGGAUCGUAAAACUCUGUUAUUAGGGAAGAACAAAUGUGUAAGUAACUAUGCACGUCUUGACGGUACCUAAUCAGAAAGCCACGGCUAACUACGUG
Molecule: ribosomal RNA, 497 nt
Filed under: uncultured bacterium
Lineage: Bacteria
Description: partial 16S ribosomal RNA
Rfam family: Bacterial small subunit ribosomal RNA
Source: RNAcentral